AUUGAACGCUGGCGGAAUGCUUUACACAUGCAAGUCGAACGGCAGCACGGGGCAACCUGGUGGCGAGUGGCGAACGGGUGAGUAAUACAUCGGAACGUGCCCAAUCGUGGGGGAUAACGUAGCGAAAGUUACGCUAAUACCGCAUACGAUCUACGGAUGAAAGCGGGGGAUCGCAAGACCUCGCGCGAACGGAGCGGCCGAUGUCAGAUUAGGUAGUUGGUGGGGUAAAGGCUCACCAAGCCAACGAUCUGUAGCUGGUCUGAGAGGACGACCAGCCACACUGGAACUGAGACACGGUCCAGACUCCUACGGGAGGCAGCAGUGGGGAAUUUUGGACAAUGGGGGGCAACCCUGAUCCAGCCAUUCCGCGUGAGUGAAGAAGGCC
RNAcentral lists this ribosomal RNA (385 nucleotides) under uncultured bacterium. RNAcentral describes it as "bacterial SSU rRNA". It matches the Rfam family "Bacterial small subunit ribosomal RNA", at positions 29 to 416 of the family's 1533-position model. The record is from RNAcentral.